UACGUAGGGUGCGAGCGUUGUCCGGAAUUACUGGGCGUAAAGAGCUCGUAGGUGGUUUGUCGCGUUGUUCGUGAAAACCGGGGGCUUAACCCUCGGCGUGCGGGCGAUACGGGCAGACUUGAGUACUGCAGGGGAGACUGGAAUUCCUGGUGUAGCGGUGGAAUGCGCAGAUAUCUGGAGGAAUACCGGUGGCGAAGGCGGCAUCCUGGACCGGCAUUGACGCUGAGGAGCGAAAGCCAGGGGAGCAAACGGG
This 253-nucleotide ribosomal RNA is filed under the name uncultured bacterium. Its description in RNAcentral is "partial 16S ribosomal RNA". It matches the Rfam family "Bacterial small subunit ribosomal RNA", at positions 524 to 776 of the family's 1533-position model. The record is from RNAcentral.